This is a long non-coding RNA of Paramisgurnus dabryanus, 265 nucleotides long. RefSeq lists it as uncharacterized. Lineage: Eukaryota; Metazoa; Chordata; Actinopteri; Cypriniformes; Cobitidae. The record is from RefSeq and is a predicted model, not a curated record.
UAGGAUGGUACUUUAGAACCUCCCGCCACGUAACAAGGACAUCUUGGAACAAGAGACGUCGAGUGGCUCGUGCCAUCCGGGGGUGGAUAUCAGUAGCAAAGCGAUCGUUGUGUGUACUAUUGCAAGAUCUAUAGCGGAUCUCCACAUUUAGGAUACAGACCACAAUGCUUUAGAUGUGUCUUUAAAAAAGAGAAAAAUCAGAGACUUUUUGGAUUUGUCUAGGACCAUUUUAAACAUUUUGUAGCAACUUGGAUUUUACACAUUA